This 857-nucleotide long non-coding RNA is filed under the name Mus caroli (Ryukyu mouse). RNAcentral's name for it is "lncRNA (MGP_CAROLIEiJ_G0005045.1)". Lineage: Eukaryota; Metazoa; Chordata; Mammalia; Rodentia; Muridae. The record is from RNAcentral.
AGCCUCCACCGUGCUCUGCGCGUGUGUUGCUAGGUGUGGCUGCUUCCUCGACGUUCAAGCGUGGUUUUGAGGUGACCCUCGGCUCGGGUGACAGUUUCCAAGGCAAAAGAUAUGAGUUAGCUGGUUAACUGUCCAAACAGAUCUGACUGAGGACUGGAGAGAGAGCUAAGUGAUGAAGAGCACUGGACGCUUUUGCAAACGACCUGGGUUCAAUUUGCAGCACCUGCAUGAUGGCUCACACAUUUCUAUCAUGGCAGUCCUUCUGACCUCUGCAGGCACAGCAUACAUGUGAUACCCAGACAUACAUACAAGCAAAACACCCAUAAACAAAAAUACACCCCCAAGUUAAAAAUAUGACACAUUCCUAAAGGCAGUUCCACUGUCUGAGUCUCCUGAAUACUGGCAGUACAGACUUGUGCCACCAUGCUCAAUGCCAUUACCAGCUUAAAUGACCAUGGUUGUACAUGUGGCCUCCGAAGUCCGCAGUGUUUUCAUGCUGCACAUGGCCCUCUUGGAAACAGUUGUCAGCCCUCUUGACCUUGAGCACCUUGGACUGUGCCUUCAUGUCCUCUCACCUGCCCUGAGGCUGACCUCUGCAGCUCACACUUUUCACCCCAUGCCUGUCUGUUGCCUGCCCAGGCCACAUUGACUUUUCUCACCAAUGACUUUCUGUAAAUUAUCUUCCUAACUCCUGACAGCUGGUAAUGUAACUUCCUAUGAAUUGCUGGUCCUGAACAGAGAAACCAACCAGUUCUAACUGAGGAGGGCAUUGUACUUGUGUAACAUCUUAAAAGGAACUAUGAAUUCAAGUUUUGCUUUGAUCUUAGCAUGCUCGGGAUAAAUAAAGAUUAUGAUCU